RNAcentral lists this ribosomal RNA (497 nucleotides) under uncultured bacterium. Its description in RNAcentral is "partial 16S ribosomal RNA". It matches the Rfam family "Bacterial small subunit ribosomal RNA", at positions 28 to 507 of the family's 1533-position model. The record is from RNAcentral.
GAUGAACGCUGGCGGCGUGCCUAAUACAUGCAAGUCGAGCGAACGGACGAGAAGCUUGCUUCUCUGAUGUUAGCGGCGGACGGGUGAGUAACACGUGGAUAACCUACCAAUAAGACUGGGAUAACUUCGGGAAACCGGAGCUAAUACCGGAUAAUAUUUUGAACCGCAUGGUUCAAAAGUGAAAGACGGUCUUGCUGUCACUUAUAGAUGGAUCCGCGCUGCAUUAGCUAGUUGGUAAGGUAACGGCUUACCAAGGCAAGGAUGCAUAGCCGACCUGAGAGGGUGAUCGGCCACACUGGAACUGAGACACGGUCCAGACUCCUACGGGAGGCAGCAGUAGGGAAUCUUCCGCAAUGGGCGAAAGCCUGACGGAGCAACGCCGCGUGAGUGAUGAAGGUCUUCGGAUCGUAAAACUCUGUUAUUAGGGAAGAACAUAUGUGUAAGUAACUGUGCACAUCUUGACGGUACCUAAUCAGAAAGCCACGGCUAACUACGUG